AGGUAUAAAUAUACACAUAUAUACAUAUACAUAUACAUACAUAUCUUCUCAUUUCACUCCACUAUCUCUGCAUCUUCUGCAUGGAUAAUAAUUUAAACUACUUAUUUCUAAGUUUAUGGAUUAAGACUUGAAAGUUAACUAUACAUGUAUAAGGUAUCAAAUGAGUAGUGUCAAAUUAUGAAGAUUUCAUGUCUAGGGAGCUUCACCAACUUCAUGCAAUAUUUUUUAUGUUCAGAGUGCUUGGACUUUAGUUCAAAAAGCUAACUCCUUGGACAUUAGUUGAAAUAAAUAACUCCUGCAAAAUUAUAGAAUUUGUAGUAGAGAAGUAGGUGCAAACGACACGAAGUUGAGUUAAGUUUAAAUUUUACGUAAUAGUUUUUUUAACAUUGAAAAAGCUAGUUUCUAGAGUUUAAAUUUUACGUAAUAGUUUUUUUAACAUUGAAAAAGCUAGUUUCUAGAGAUAUUACAUCGAUUAGAGAUUAGAGCAUUUCAUAAUAUUUUGAAAAGUUAAGUUAGAUUCAAAAUAUUUUUUUUUUAGUAGUCAACUAAAUGCAAUGUUUUGUAGGUUAACAAUUAACUCUUGACUUUGUUUUUCAAAUGGGGUGUUCUUAUGUGAAUUCCAGAUGAGCUUAUCAAGAAUGCUAAGUACAUAGCCACACCAGGGAAGGGUAUUUUGGCAGCAGAUGAGAGCACUGGCACCAUUGGAAAGCGUCUAGCCAGCAUUAACGUUGAGAACAUUGAGGCAAACCGCCAAGCCCUUCGAGAGCUUCUCUUCACCGCUCCAAAUGCCCUCCAAUACCUCUCUGGUGUCAUCCUCUUUGAGGAAACCCUUUACCAGAAAACCUCUGAUGGGAAGCCUUUUGUUGAGGUCCUUAACGAGAACAAUGUGAUCCCAGGCAUCAAGGUGGACAAGGGUGUUGUUGAGUUGGCUGCCACAAACGGUGAAACCACCACACAGGGCUUUGACUCUCUUGGAGCUCGGUGCCAGCAGUACUACAAGGCAGGGGCACGCUUUGCAAAGUGGCGUGCAGUUCUCAAAAUUGGCCCCAAUGAGCCCUCU
This 1060-nucleotide long non-coding RNA is filed under the name Phaseolus vulgaris (common bean). Its description in RNAcentral is "long non-coding RNA (PVUL_LNC001934)". The record is from RNAcentral. Lineage: Eukaryota; Viridiplantae; Streptophyta; Magnoliopsida; Fabales; Fabaceae.